RNAcentral lists this ribosomal RNA (253 nucleotides) under uncultured bacterium. RNAcentral's name for it is "partial 16S ribosomal RNA". It matches the Rfam family "Bacterial small subunit ribosomal RNA", at positions 524 to 776 of the family's 1533-position model. The record is from RNAcentral.
UACGGGGGGGGCAAGCGUUGUUCGGAAUUACUGGGCGUAAAGGGCUCGUAGGCGGCCAACUAAGUCAGACGUGAAAUCCCUCGGCUUAACCGGGGAACUGCAUCUGAUACUGGAUGGCUUGAGAUUGGGAGAGGGAUGCGGAAUUCCAGGUGUAGCGGUGAAAUGCGUAGAGAUGUGGAGGAACACCAGUGGCGAAGGCGACUCUUUGGUCUGUAACUGACGCUGAGGCGCGAAAGCGUGGGGAGCAAACAGG